RNAcentral lists this long non-coding RNA (1139 nucleotides) under Pan troglodytes (chimpanzee). RNAcentral describes it as "long non-coding RNA NONPTRT003144". The record is from RNAcentral. Lineage: Eukaryota; Metazoa; Chordata; Mammalia; Primates; Hominidae.
UUGCCUCAGCGCCGACCCCCAGGCCCAGCCCCCGCCGCGGCUGGAGCGACCAGGGGCACCGCGGCACCGCCUGGGCGGGAUCCCAGCGCUUGGUUCCUCGACUCUGCGUCCGCCUGCCCAACGGCUUGCCUGCCUCCCCUCGCUCUCCCGCUCCGGCUCCCGCUCCCUCCCCCUUGGCUGCUCGCUCCUGGCACCCUUUUGUUGCAAAUAAACUUUGCGGCAGAGGCAAGGGGGCGGGGGGCGGGGCCUCGAGCCCAAAAGAGGGGGUGGGCUCCGGGCGUGCGCGAGCCUGGGAACCGGGUGGUGGGAGGGAAUCAGGGAGGAGUUGAAGAAGAAAAAGCCUGCUGGAGGACUUGCAGACUGAGGCGACCCUCUGGCCCUCCAGAGACGUCCUCGGGAGCCCAGCAGGCCGAGCUGCCCCCAGGGAGUCGCUGAGACACACGCAACCGCUGAGCGUGCUCAGCUCCGCAGACUCGCAGCCAGGGCGCCGCGUCCACCGCGGGCCACCAGCCUCGCGCGGGAAACACCUCCUGCCCAGGGGCUCCAACAUGGCAACCUCGGACUCACAAACUCUCGUACACACUGACACUCAGCUGCCACGCCUUCCACCUGCCCCUGCAGUCUGGCGGCUCUUCUCCUGGACUCUCCGCCUGGAUCCCCGAGCCUCUUUCCUUCUUGCUCUGGAGUACGCGGCUCUUGCGCCCCCUCGCGGCGUGAUUUUGCCAACGCACGGAGUCCUGGACGGAUAAAGCAGCACCCAUCCCCAAAAAACGGAGAGUUGUGAAAACUUCCUUUCAGUCGUUACCUAAUCCCCUUAGUCUUUUUCAGACCUUCGCAAAGCGCACUGCCCCUUCUUAGGCCUUAUACACAAAAGGAGCUUCGACCGGAACGCCCUCGACUUCCCACUGCCAAACCUAUACUCCUACCCGCAGCUGCUUCACCUUCUUGGCAGGGAAAGUGUAGGUUGUUUCUCUGGCUUCACGCUGAUCCCUCGCUUGAGCUCCCCUCCCGCCCCUGCCUCCGUCUGAGUCUUACAUUGUUCUCGGUAUUGGGACAUCAUCCCCUUCCGCAUUCCCACCUGCCUCUAGAUCCCAUUCAUCCUCCCGGCCCAACUAACGAAUGAACGAACGAAUGAAAAU